AUCUGUUACUCACACCACAUCUUCAUAUAAAAAGGAAAACAGAAGUUUCAUUACAACAAUCUGUCAAACAUCCUGCUCUUUCCUUUGUUUUUUUAUAUGCUCACAUCAAAAUAAUAUUACAAAUAAAAUUACAACAAACCGUGUUCUAGCAGCUCCUGCUUCAGUGGCCACCUGGGUUUCUAUUCCAUGACAGAUAUGACGGGUCCCCAAGUCGCCUUGGCUUAACAAGAUAGACGACUGUGAAAGCCAUUGCCAAAAAGAAGCAUAACCCACCAACAGUAAGAUAAGCAAUUCCAAGAAAAUCAUUCUUCCCACCAAGCCAGCUAGUUGUAGAAAGCACAAG
This 343-nucleotide unclassified non-coding RNA is filed under the name Hevea brasiliensis (rubber tree). Lineage: Eukaryota; Viridiplantae; Streptophyta; Magnoliopsida; Malpighiales; Euphorbiaceae. The record is from RNAcentral.